This 2985-nucleotide ribosomal RNA is filed under the name Salmonella enterica subsp. enterica serovar 4,[5],12:i:-. RNAcentral describes it as "23S ribosomal RNA". It matches the Rfam family "Bacterial large subunit ribosomal RNA". The record is from RNAcentral. Lineage: Bacteria; Pseudomonadati; Pseudomonadota; Gammaproteobacteria; Enterobacterales; Enterobacteriaceae.
UUAAGCGACUAAGCGUACACGGUGGAUGCCCUGGCAGUCAGAGGCGAUGAAGGACGUGCUAAUCUGCGAUAAGCGCCGGUAAGGUGAUAUGAACCGUUAUAACCGGCGAUUUCCGAAUGGGGAAACCCAGUGUGAUUCGUCACACUAUCAUUAACUGAAUCCAUAGGUUAAUGAGGCGAACCGGGGGAACUGAAACAUCUAAGUACCCCGAGGAAAAGAAAUCAACCGAGAUUCCCCCAGUAGCGGCGAGCGAACGGGGAGGAGCCCAGAGCCUGAAUCAGCAUGUGUGUUAGUGGAAGCGUCUGGAAAGGUGCGCGAUACAGGGUGACAGCCCCGUACACAAAAGCGCAUGUGCUGUGAGCUCGAUGAGUAGGGCGGGACACGUGGUAUCCUGUCUGAAUAUGGGGGGACCAUCCUCCAAGGCUAAAUACUCCUGACUGACCGAUAGUGAACCAGUACCGUGAGGGAAAGGCGAAAAGAACCCCGGCGAGGGGAGUGAAAAAGAACCUGAAACCGUGUACGUACAAGCAGUGGGAGCACAGGUUUACCUGUGUGACUGCGUACCUUUUGUAUAAUGGGUCAGCGACUUAUAUUCUGUAGCAAGGUUAACCGUAUAGGGGAGCCGUAGGGAAACCGAGUCUUAACCGGGCGUUAAGUUGCAGGGUAUAGACCCGAAACCCGGUGAUCUAGCCAUGGGCAGGUUGAAGGUUGGGUAACACUAACUGGAGGACCGAACCGACUAAUGUUGAAAAAUUAGCGGAUGACCUGUGGCUGGGGGUGAAAGGCCAAUCAAACCGGGAGAUAGCUGGUUCUCCCCGAAAGCUAUUUAGGUAGCGCCUCGUGAAUUCAUCUCCGGGGGUAGAGCACUGUUUCGGCUAGGGGGCCAUCCCGGCUUACCAACCCGAUGCAAACUGCGAAUACCGGAGAAUGUUAUCACGGGAGACACACGGCGGGUGCUAACGUCCGUCGUGAAGAGGGAAACAACCCAGACCGCCAGCUAAGGUCCCAAAGUCAUGGUUAAGUGGGAAACGAUGUGGGAAGGCCCAGACAGCCAGGAUGUUGGCUUAGAAGCAGCCAUCAUUUAAAGAAAGCGUAAUAGCUCACUGGUCGAGUCGGCCUGCGCGGAAGAUGUAACGGGGCUAAACCAUGCACCGAAGCUGCGGCAGCGAACGUAUCACUUAAAGCGAUUCAGCGGGUUACGAUUGACGGAGCGAAGCGACGUCAAAGCGUAUACAAAGUCGAGUCGGUUUAGGAUACGUUCGUUGGGUAGGGGAGCGUUCUGUAAGCCCGUGAAGGUGGCCUGUGAGGGUUGCUGGAGGUAUCAGAAGUGCGAAUGCUGACAUAAGUAACGAUAAAGCGGGUGAAAAGCCCGCUCGCCGGAAGACCAAGGGUUCCUGUCCAACGUUAAUCGGGGCAGGGUGAGUCGACCCCUAAGGCGAGGCCGAAAGGCGUAGUCGAUGGGAAACGGGUUAAUAUUCCCGUACUUGGUGUUACUGCGAAGGGGGGACGGAGAAGGCUAUGUUGGCCGGGCGACGGUUGUCCCGGUUUAAGCGUGUAGGUGUGUGUUCCAGGUAAAUCCGGUUCACUUUAACACUGAGGCGUGACGACGAGGCACUACGGUGCUGAAGCAACAAAUGCCCUGCUUCCAGGAAAAGCCUCUAAGCAUCAGGUAACAUCAAAUCGUACCCCAAACCGACACAGGUGGUCAGGUAGAGAAUACCAAGGCGCUUGAGAGAACUCGGGUGAAGGAACUAGGCAAAAUGGUGCCGUAACUUCGGGAGAAGGCACGCUGACACGUAGGUGAAGUGAUUUACUCAUGGAGCUGAAGUCAGUCGAAGAUACCAGCUGGCUGCAACUGUUUAUUAAAAACACAGCACUGUGCAAACACGAAAGUGGACGUAUACGGUGUGACGCCUGCCCGGUGCCGGAAGGUUAAUUGAUGGGGUCAGCGCAAGCGAAGCUCCUGAUCGAAGCCCCGGUAAACGGCGGCCGUAACUAUAACGGUCCUAAGGUAGCGAAAUUCCUUGUCGGGUAAGUUCCGACCUGCACGAAUGGCGUAAUGAUGGCCAGGCUGUCUCCACCCGAGACUCAGUGAAAUUGAACUCGCUGUGAAGAUGCAGUGUACCCGCGGCAAGACGGAAAGACCCCGUGAACCUUUACUAUAGCUUGACACUGAACAUUGAGCCUUGAUGUGUAGGAUAGGUGGGAGGCUUUGAAGUGUGGACGCCAGUCUGCAUGGAGCCGACCUUGAAAUACCACCCUUUAAUGUUUGAUGUUCUAACGUGGACCCGUAAUCCGGGUUGCGGACAGUGUCUGGUGGGUAGUUUGACUGGGGCGGUCUCCUCCUAAAGAGUAACGGAGGAGCACGAAGGUUGGCUAAUCCUGGUCGGACAUCAGGAGGUUAGUGCAAUGGCAUAAGCCAGCUUGACUGCGAGCGUGACGGCGCGAGCAGGUGCGAAAGCAGGUCAUAGUGAUCCGGUGGUUCUGAAUGGAAGGGCCAUCGCUCAACGGAUAAAAGGUACUCCGGGGAUAACAGGCUGAUACCGCCCAAGAGUUCAUAUCGACGGCGGUGUUUGGCACCUCGAUGUCGGCUCAUCACAUCCUGGGGCUGAAGUAGGUCCCAAGGGUAUGGCUGUUCGCCAUUUAAAGUGGUACGCGAGCUGGGUUUAGAACGUCGUGAGACAGUUCGGUCCCUAUCUGCCGUGGGCGCUGGAGAACUGAGGGGGGCUGCUCCUAGUACGAGAGGACCGGAGUGGACGCAUCACUGGUGUUCGGGUUGUCAUGCCAAUGGCACUGCCCGGUAGCUAAAUGCGGAAGAGAUAAGUGCUGAAAGCAUCUAAGCACGAAACUUGCCCCGAGAUGAGUUCUCCCUGAGACUUAGAGUCUCCUGAAGGAACGUUGAAGACGACGACGUUGAUAGGCCGGGUGUGUAAGCGCAGCGAUGCGUUGAGCUAACCGGUACUAAUGAACCGUGAGGCUUAACCU